UUAACUCAAAUUUGUAUGGAGUUGGAACGUUUGCGUUAUAUUUACCGUUAAGAGCGCUGUUCCAACUCAAUUACAAAUUCGAGUUA
RNAcentral lists this microRNA precursor (86 nucleotides) under Bombyx mori (domestic silkworm). RNAcentral's name for it is "mir-2807 microRNA precursor family". It matches the Rfam family "mir-2807 microRNA precursor family". Lineage: Eukaryota; Metazoa; Arthropoda; Insecta; Lepidoptera; Bombycidae. The record is from Rfam by way of RNAcentral.